GGCAGACGGGUGAGUAACAUGUACGUAUCUGCCCUUUGGCCUGGAAUAACACGAGGAAACUUGUGCUAAUACCGGAUAAGUCUUUACGGAGAAAGCUUUAUGCACCAUUGGAUGAGCCUGCACUUGAUUAGUUUGUUGGUGGGGUAAUGGCCUACCAAGACUGUGAUCAAUAGCUGAUUUGAGAGGAUGAUCAGCCACAUUGGGACUGAGACACGGCCCAAACUCCUACGGGAGGCAGCAGUGGGGAAUCUUGCACAAUGGAGGAAACUCUGAUGCAGCGAUGCCGCGUGAGUGAAGAAGGCCUUUGGGUUGUAAAGCUCUUUCGUCGGGGAAGAAAAUGACUGUACCCGAAUAGGAAGGUCCGGCUAACUUCGUGCCAGCAGCCGCGGUAAUACGAAGGGACCUAGCGUAGUUCGGAAUUACUGGGCUUAAAGAGUUCGUAGGUGGUUGAAAAAGUUAGUGGUGAAAUCCCAGAGCUUAACUCUGGGACUGCCAUUAAAACUUUUCAGCUAGAGUAUGAUAGAGGAAAGCAGAAUUUCUAGUGUAGAGGUGAAAUUCGUAGAUAUUAGAAAGAAUACCAAUUGCGAAGGCAGCUUUCUGGAUCAUUACUGACACUGAGGAACGAAAGCAUGGGUAGCGAAGAGGACUAGAUACCCUCGUAUUCCAUGCCGUAAACAAUGUGUGUUAGACG
This 691-nucleotide ribosomal RNA is filed under the name uncultured marine bacterium. Its description in RNAcentral is "bacterial SSU rRNA". It matches the Rfam family "Bacterial small subunit ribosomal RNA", at positions 97 to 822 of the family's 1533-position model. The record is from RNAcentral.